AGCAGCCGCGGUAAUUCCAGCUCCAAUAGCGUAUAUUAAAGUUGUUGCAGUUAAAAAGCUCGUAGUUGGAUUUUUGGGGCGCGUGGCCGGUCUGCCGCGAGGCGUGUACUGGCCGUGCGCACCUUCCUUCCGGGGCCCGCGCGUGCCCUUCAGUGGGCGUGCGCUGGGUGCCGGGACGUUUACUGUGAAAAAAU
RNAcentral lists this ribosomal RNA (194 nucleotides) under uncultured Glomeromycotina. RNAcentral's name for it is "partial 18S ribosomal RNA". It matches the Rfam family "Eukaryotic small subunit ribosomal RNA", at positions 569 to 766 of the family's 1831-position model. Lineage: Eukaryota; Fungi; Glomeromycota. The record is from RNAcentral.